This 302-nucleotide ribosomal RNA is filed under the name uncultured bacterium. RNAcentral's name for it is "partial 16S ribosomal RNA". It matches the Rfam family "Bacterial small subunit ribosomal RNA", at positions 508 to 807 of the family's 1533-position model. The record is from RNAcentral.
GCAGUAGCCACGGGAAUACGAAGGGUGCAAGCGUUAAUCGGAAUUACUGGGCGUAAAGCGUGCGUAGGCGGUGAGUUAAGUCUGCUGUGAAAUCCCCGGGCUCAACCUGGGAACUGCAUUUGUGACUGGCAAGCUAGAGUGUGGCAGAGGGGGGUGGAAUUCCGCGUGUAGCAGUGAAAUGCGUAGAGAUCGGGAGGAACAUCAGUGGCGAAGGCGGCCAUCUGGGACAACACUGACGCUGAGGCACGAAAGCGUGGGGAGCAAACAGGAUUAGAUACCCGCGUAGUCCCUGUCUCUUAUAC